CUCCAGACUCCUACGGGAGGCAGCAGUGGGGGAUAUUGCACAAUGGGGGGAACCCUGAUGCAGCGACGCCGCGUGGGUGAAGGAGCGUUUCGGCGCGUAAAGCCCUCUCGGCAGGGAAGAAGGAGGACGGUACCUGACUAAGAAGCCCCGGCUAACUACGUGCCAGCAGCCGCGGUAAUACGUAGGGGGCAAGCGUUAUCCGGAUUUACUGGGUGUAAAGGGGGCGCAGACGGCGCGCCAAGUCUGAUGUGAAACCCCGGGGCUCAACCCCGGGCAUGCAUUGGAAACUGGCGGGCUGGAGUGCCGGAGAGGUAAGCGGAAUUCCUAGUGUAGCGGUGAAAUGCGUAGAUAUUAGGAGGAACACCAGUGGCGAAGGCGGCUUACUGGACGGCAACUGACGCUGAGGCUCGAAAGCGUGGGGAGCAAACAGGAUUAGAUACCCGAGUACGC
RNAcentral lists this ribosomal RNA (450 nucleotides) under uncultured bacterium. Its description in RNAcentral is "partial 16S ribosomal RNA". It matches the Rfam family "Bacterial small subunit ribosomal RNA", at positions 329 to 794 of the family's 1533-position model. The record is from RNAcentral.